RNAcentral lists this long non-coding RNA (548 nucleotides) under Prunus persica (peach). RNAcentral describes it as "long non-coding RNA (PPER_LNC000130)". Lineage: Eukaryota; Viridiplantae; Streptophyta; Magnoliopsida; Rosales; Rosaceae. The record is from RNAcentral.
UACUUCCUUAUUUACAUUGUAAACUUAAGUAAAUUGAGUAAUAUAAAAAUAAAUUAAAGUAAAAGAACAAAGACAUUUACUUAAAUGUUGAAAAUGGAAAUAAAGUAAUCUAUACACGAGUUGAGCAAAGAGGCAAUUUCAAGCACCUACAAUGGUUUUUCCGGCGAGGGGAAGUGCAGCUACACCUCCUUGCGUCUUAAUGGAUCUGCCUCUGGGUGUAUUCAAUUGAGAUUUAAAUGGAUUGUUGUGAAGCUUAAAAGCACAAAUGGUAUUCAAUUAGGAUUAAGUAAUCAAUAAAAGUCGGGUCCAAUUGUGUAAUUAAAAUCUAAUUACAAAUGAUUUUUUUUUAAUAAAUAGAAUAGCCGUUCGGCUAUACUCCCCUUUUUAAAAUUAUUUUUUAUAAAUAGUAUAGCCGUGCGGCUAUACUCUUUACAUACUGUGAUUUUUUUAUUAUUUAUAAAUGUUUUUUCCUGAUUUUUGUUUAUCGAUAAGAGUGCUUUAGAGCAUUAUUUAUUUCUAUUAGGCCAUUAUCCGAGUCUCUAUUGUCC